This 220-nucleotide unclassified non-coding RNA is filed under the name plant metagenome. Its description in RNAcentral is "partial contains small subunit ribosomal RNA, internal transcribed spacer 1, and 5.8S ribosomal RNA". The record is from RNAcentral.
UCUCCGUAGGUGAACCUGCGGAAGGAUCAUUACAGAGUUCAUGCCCUCACGGGUAGAUCUCCCACCCUUGAAUAUUUAUACCUUAGUUGCUUUGGCAGGCCGUGGAAACACCAUGGGCUCCGGCUUAUGCGUGCCUGCCAGAGGAAACAAACUCUGUUUUUAGUGAUGUCUGAGUACUAUAUAAUAGUUAAAACUUUCAACAACGGAUCUCUUGGUUCUG